This 156-nucleotide small nuclear RNA is filed under the name Echinops telfairi (small Madagascar hedgehog). Its description in RNAcentral is "U1 spliceosomal RNA (ENSETEG00000022523.1)". It matches the Rfam family "U1 spliceosomal RNA". From Rfam's summary of the family: U1 is a small nuclear RNA (snRNA) component of the spliceosome (involved in pre-mRNA splicing). Lineage: Eukaryota; Metazoa; Chordata; Mammalia; Afrosoricida; Tenrecidae. The record is from RNAcentral.
AUACUGACCUGGCAGGGGAGAUACCAUGAUCAGGAAGGUGGUUUUCCCAGAGUGAGGCUUAUCAAUUGCACUCGGGAUGUGCUGACCCCUGCGAUUUCCCCAUAUGUGGGAAACUCGACUGCAUGAUUUGUGGUCGUGGGGGACUGCGUUCUCCAA